Molecule: ribosomal RNA, 293 nt
Filed under: uncultured prokaryote
Description: partial 16S ribosomal RNA
Rfam family: Archaeal small subunit ribosomal RNA
Source: RNAcentral
GUGUCAGCCGCCGCGGUAAUACCGGCAGUCCGAGUGAUGGCCGAUCUUAUUGGGCCUAAAGCGUCCGUAGCUGGCUGAACAAGUCCGUUGGGAAAUCUGUCCGCUUAACGGGCAGACGUCCAGCGGAAACUGUUCAGCUUGGGACCGGAAGACCUGAGGGGUACGUCUGGGGUAGGAGUGAAAUCCUGUAAUCCUGGACGGACCGCCGGUGGCGAAAGCGCCUCAGGAGAACGGAUCCGACAGUGAGGGACGAAAGCUAGGGUCUCGAACCGGAUUAGAAACCCCGGUAGUCC